This 1935-nucleotide ribosomal RNA is filed under the name human gut metagenome. Its description in RNAcentral is "bacterial LSU rRNA". The stretch from base 708 to 1935 matches the Rfam family "Bacterial large subunit ribosomal RNA", at positions 1 to 1973 of the family's 2925-position model. The record is from RNAcentral.
CCCAUGUAUAUAGACGCGCAAUCCCUGAUGUACCUGUCUACAAAUGCCGCCUCAUCACAUGUGAUGAUGGAGGCAAUGACAGCGUAAUUUGCCACUGCAACAUACCUUCUGGUGAGACUGCAUUUCAGGGAAUUUCCGGUGUCAAUAUACCCGAUAGCGUGUGUGAUGUUAGAAUUUCUGCCAAGUAAUACAUUUGUCAGAAUCUUCAAAUAACUCACUUCUUUUUAUGUAGUGCAUUUCGCAUUAUAGUCCUGUAUAUGGAAGAAAACGGUCGGAUUAAAAUAAAUGAAGCAUCAAUAUUUCGAUUGAAUUUUUAAAAUGUUGAUAAAAAUGUGGCUAGUUUUUGCAAUUUCCGACGUUAACCUUGAAAAAUGUGUAUAAAUCUGUGGAUAGUGUGGAAAAGUUAUAAAAUACUACAAGAUAUGCGAAAAUAUAGUACAAUUUACGACAUAGUGCUAUAUUUAUCGAAAUAUAAUAAUAAAAAACGGGAAAUGUUUAGAUGGGAGAAAAAAUUAAUCCGGAACUUGAACUGGCGAUCAAUUCUGAUGCAUAUACCCCCGGAAGCAAUCUUUAUCUAGGAUAUGACAAGACUAGAGAUGAGUGGACUCUCAUAAUAAGACACUCCGGUGAAAUUGAUGAUUUGGAGGGAACGCUUGUCAACGAAUCGGUAUAUCUCCUGGGGGGAUUUGCGGUAAUAAAGAUAUACACAUAUAACAUAUAUUAUCUUCAGCUUGAUCCGAGAAUCCUCUAUAUCGAUAAGGCGAGCUAUUACAGUUAUGGGGCAGAGAGAGGAAUCACUGCUUCGGAGCAAAAUACUUAUGCAAGAUAUGCCGCGUGCCUGACAGAUAGUCAGGUGGGAGUAAUGCCAGUGUACGGUGAUGGCGUGUGUAUAGGGGUGAUAGACAGUGGACUUGAUAUCAGGAACGAGGAAUUCUGCCGUGAUGGGCGAACCAGACUGCUUAGAUACUGGAACCAGAAUCAGAACUAGAGAUAAGUUGGGCGGUCAAAAGGGAAAGAGCCCAGACCUUCAGUUAAGGUCCCAAAGUGCGCGUUAAGUGGAAAAGGAUGUGGGAUUUCGAAGACAACCAGGAUGUUGGCUCAGAAGCAGCCAUCCAUUCAAAGAGUGCGUAAUAGCUCACUGGUCGAGAGGUCCUGCGCCGAAAAUGUCCGGGGCUGAAACGCGCCACCGAAACUAAGGAACCGAAAGGUUGGUAGAGGAGCAUUGCAUGCGGAACGAAGCAGUACCGUAAGGAGCUGUGGACUGCAUGGAAGAGAGAAUGCCGGAAUGAGUAGCGAGAUAGAGGUGGGAAUCCUCUAGGCCGAAUAUCCAAGGUUUCCAGAGUAAAGCUGAUCUGCUCUGGGUAAGUCGGGGCCUAAGGCGAGGACGAGAGUCGUAGCCGAUGGACAACAGGUGGAGAUUCCUGUACUGCGGUAUGACAGAACUGUGGGGACACGUAAGGAAAGCGGAAGCCGGGAAUGGAAAGCCCGGUGCAAGCGGGGUACCAGUCACUUUGGCAAAUCCGGGUGGCAAUGGGAAGCCGUGAUGCGGAGCGAAAUAAAGUAGCGAAGUCCGUGAGCCAUGCGUCAAGAAAAGCCGCUAUUGUUUGUACCGUACCCGUACCGUAAACCGACACAGGUGGAUGAGGAGAGAAUCCUAAGGCCGGCGGAAGAAGCAUUGUCAAGGAACUCGGCAAAAUGGCCCCGUAACUUAGGGAUAAGGGGUGCCUGGGAAACCAGGCCGCAGAGAAUAGGCUCAAGCAACUGUUUAGCAAAAACACAGGUCUAUGCGAAACCGAAAGGUGAGGUAUAUGGGCUGACGCCUGCCCGGUGCUGGAAGGUUAAGAGGAGAGGUUAGCGCAAGCGAAGCUUUGAAUUUAAGCCCCAGUAAACGGCGGCCGUAACUAUAACGGUCCUAAGGUAGCGAAAUUCCUUGUC